RNAcentral lists this unclassified non-coding RNA (1169 nucleotides) under Hevea brasiliensis (rubber tree). Lineage: Eukaryota; Viridiplantae; Streptophyta; Magnoliopsida; Malpighiales; Euphorbiaceae. The record is from RNAcentral.
GUGGAUUCAAGAAGGACGGGGAGAGAGAUGGUUAAACAUAGUUGAUAUCAAAUAACAACCUUCUUUAACAAUCUCUCUCCCCGUCCUUCUUGAAUCCACAAUGGUAACCCAUGCAUCCACUGCAAAUAUAAACGCCACAAAUGCAUCCAACAAAAACCAAGUAAACAAAAACCCUGAAAUUUCUUUUUCAAACCCUCGAAUCCACGGGGACGUAAUAGAAAAUGGCAUCAAUUUCAACCUCACAAAUAGCUUGAAAAACGAGUAUUGGUCCUCAAUUUCACCAAAAUACCACAACCCUAUAAGCUGAGUCAAAGCAUCCCUAACCGCCCAUCUCAUGAGGAUAAACCCUGUGAGUCGUUUCAGCCCCAAUCUAGACCCAUCCCAAACAACAGCAACGAAUGAAGUGAACCUCCCCAACAAAUCAUUAACAACAGCAACAAAAACAAUGCCCAAUAUCCACGAAUAUAUAGCAGUAAACCCAAGAAUCACCCACCCAUAAGCUACAGAUAAGAAACUUAUUGCAGACAAGAAACUUACCAGAAAGAACAAGGCAGCCGCGUCCCGCCGGCCCAUCUCCAAACCCUUAAUAAAGAACUGCAAAUCCACUAUCCGGUCCAAAUCCCCGCCCUUUUCAAAACCCACCGAUCCAUUUUCCUCUUCCUCUUCCUCUUCCUCUUCCUUUUCAUUAUCACUAUAAUCAGUACUUUCCCUGUCGCUACUAUUCAUAAGUAGACUAUCCACCUUGAAUUGAAUCCCAGAAUGAACAGUUUCCGAAAUCUUGAUCCCGUUAUCGACGACAUACUCGGAAAAUCCCAACCCAGGAUCGAGGUUGUAAAGAAUUACAGAGCUGCCAUUUGGAGAAAGCUUACGGUUAGGACCAAAGAGGGAACGAUCCGUAUCGUCGUCGCCGGAGAAGAAGUCAUCAUCUAGGGUUCCCACGCGAGUGAGGUGGAGAAAGGGGCGGCGGUGGCGGCGAGGAGGGAAGCGUUGAAUGCGGUGGUGAGGGUGGAGAUGGCGGCCGGAGAGGUCGAGGCGGGAGAGGAGGGAUCUAAGGGAAGGGUCACGGUCGAUGAAUGAUGUGAGGACGUGGGUCCCACUCUCGACGAGGGAACGGAAGGAGAACAGGAGAAGGGAGAGGAGGAGGAAGGUGAAGAGAUUGGCGGAGAAGG